Vidua chalybeata is the source of this 488-nucleotide long non-coding RNA. RefSeq lists it as uncharacterized. The transcript has 3 exons. The record is from RefSeq and is a predicted model, not a curated record. Lineage: Eukaryota; Metazoa; Chordata; Aves; Passeriformes; Viduidae.
UGUUUCCAAGCACAAGCUGAAAAAACAGUGUUCCAAAACGCAUCAUACGUACGCUCUUUAACAUAUUUGAGAUGUUCUAACAUACAUGCCAUAUUGUAUCUAAGGUUUCAUCUAGUCUAUAAUGUAUUAUUCCUACACAAAAUAUCAGUGUCACAGUACAGCUGGAACUUGAGGGGAUAAGAAAUGCCAGCAAACUUUAGGCUUUUUCAUAUUUGAAAUUAUGUGAAUGGUACAGCUUUUCUGCAGGUGAAUGGUGAAGUGAAACAGAAAGCAGAAGUCAGGCACAAAUAACUGUUUAAUGUAAAAAUUACUGAUAGGAAAAGAAGGAAAAAUGCUUCUCUGUCCUCUACUUGCACAGUUUCCAGUGCAUGACACUUCAAAUUCUGAAUCAGACUUCUUUCCUUCUCCAAGGAGAAAACUGAAGAGGCUUCUAUUAAUUUAAGCCAAAACUGAAAUUUAAUCUCAAAUAAAAGAUUUCAGUAUGGAUA